This 406-nucleotide ribosomal RNA is filed under the name uncultured bacterium. RNAcentral's name for it is "partial 16S ribosomal RNA". It matches the Rfam family "Bacterial small subunit ribosomal RNA", at positions 30 to 526 of the family's 1533-position model. The record is from RNAcentral.
AUUGAACGCUGGCGGCAGGCCUAACACAUGCAAGUCGAGCGAGCGGCGGACGGGUGAGUAAUGUCUGGGAAACUGCCUGAUGGAGGGGGAUAAAUACUGGAAACGGUAGCUAAUACCGCAUAACAUCAGAUGUGCCCAGAUGGGAUUAGAUAGUAGGGGGGGUAACGGCUCACCUAGGCGACGGUCCCUAGCUGGUCUGAGAGGAUGACCAGCCACACUGUAACUGAGACACGGUCCAGACUCCUACGGGAGUCAGCAGUGGGGAAUUUUGCACAAUGGGCGCAAGCCUGAUGCAGCCAUGCCGCGUGUGUGAAGAAGGCCUUCGGGUUGUAAAGUACUUUCAGCGGGGAGGCGUUACCCGCAGAAGAAGCACCGGCUAACUCCGUGCCAGCCGCCGCGGUAAUUC